This is a long non-coding RNA of Condylura cristata (star-nosed mole), 2423 nucleotides long. RefSeq lists it as uncharacterized. The record is from RefSeq and is a predicted model, not a curated record. NCBI's taxonomy places the organism in Eukaryota, Metazoa, Chordata, Mammalia, Eulipotyphla, Talpidae. The transcript is spliced from 5 exons.
CGGGGCUGCGAAGGAAGCCGCCGGUGACAGCCGGCGGGCGCGACAGGUGAAGGCGCGGUGGCUGUGGCUGCUGCUUUUGUUUCCCGAAUGGAAACAGUUUUUGCUUGGCCCCGUGUGCGUGCAGGGGCACGGUCUUAGUGGGAUGCAUUUUCACGGACGCAGACACGGUUUCUGUGAAAGCGCGUGAAGGGAGCGGAAUGACAGCGCACGGAAGACCUUUCUGGAAGCCUGGCUUUGUCAACCAGAAUCAGCCAGCCCGUGUAAACCAAAGGUCACCUUUAUCUGAGCUGGUAUUCGCUGGUGUGCCUGAAAGAUUCUGAGACAAAAUAAACUUAGGCAGGAACAACCAAGGAGAACUGAAGGAAAUGAUUCUUUCCCCAGAGGUAAUAGAAGAGGGGGAAGAUGUGAUGUCAGAAGGCUUCAAGUUGAGAGUCCUGAAAGGAAAAGGCUGUCAUUUAAAGCAGCCAUAGACGGUGUUUGGUUUGACACAGCUAAGAAGACAGGCUGGAGAGAGCAUCUGCUAUGCCGAUGCUCACAGCACACCGCGCUGACCUUCUGUAGCAACCAGAGCCAGGAAAUCCUUGGUGACUGCAGCUUCUGUUGUGAAAUGCAGACUUUGAGACAGAAGAUUCACAAAGAGCGCGCUGCGUCUGGUACAGAGAAGCGUUCACGUGUCCUCAAGAAACUGGACUACGGAGCAGACGUGGAAGGGUGCGAGCAGGAGUCAGACCUCAGGCCCUUUUCUUCACCGAGCGAAGACGCAGGAGCACUGACGGCUGUGUGGAGUUUAUUUUUAGCUGACAACCAUCCUGAUUGUGCUUUGUGGCUCACGCAUCCGGGAAGUCCCGAGGCGGUCUGUUAUUCUCCCCAUCCUGCAGGUGAGGGAGCUGGGAGGUCCUUGGACCCUUGGGGCAGCUGGAACACCAGCACCAGCGAUGCAGUGGCCCGCGACUGCCUGGAGCACUUCUCCCAGCCCAGGAGCCUGGGGGGUUCAGGAAGAGGGCGGCUGCCACUCGGCCGUGUGAAGACCACCCCCUGACUCACUGGCCCCGUUUUCUGACAUUCCACCACCCCAUCGGGCUGGGUCCUGGGUCCUCUCACUUGGGGUCCUCAUGGCCCUAGACCUAGGUGGACAUAGCAGCUUCUCCCUUCCUGGACGACACUCACUGGAGGCCUCUACUGACUCCUGCUGGGCCCCUUCCCUAGGUUCCUCAAGUGGACACAUCCCUCUCCUUGUCCAGGCGACUCCCAGCAAGGCCUCUGCCCACUCCUGACAAUGGAUACGUCCCGCAGCUCCUGGGCUCCAUCUCUCCCUCUGAAAAACCAAAGUAGUCAUCACCACUCCCAGAAUGCUGCAGGGGACGUGACUCCAGUGCCCGCUCUCCGGGGGGCCUCUGUCCAGCUGCCUGCAUCUGCUCAUCCCCUGUCAGGGCUCCCCCACGCCUGGCCCCAGGUCACAUGUCCGUCCUCUCGAGGUGAGGGCCUUCUCUGGUGAAAUGUCCUCUCCAUCAGCAUCCACAUCCUCUCCAGGCCUUGCUGUAGACAGCAGGAGCAGGAGCCCAGGAGGACCGAGUGAAGGCCCAGCACAGGGCAGGCCCAACGCAUCUCUGAGAGAUCUCAGGGGCGAGACGCCCUGGGGUAACUGAGUCCUGCCACUGGCACCCAAGUUUGGGGCCUACCACAAAAUGAAAAUGCGGGUUUCCCGUUCAAUAACUAUUACGAUUACAAGAUGGAGACAGCAGAGGAUUAAACCAUGUCCAGGGCCCUUCUAAGCGUGGGCUACCUGAGAAUUGGGGUUCCCAAAGAAGAGUCAGGGCGGUCUCCUGGGCAGUGACCAAGGCUGUGUCUCAGUACUGCCACCGGCUGGCCACUUUGAGUCACUGCACCUCCCUUCAGAGACGCACCUUGGGGCACGGAGGGAGGGAGGGGUUUGGCCAAGGCCAGGUGACCAAGCCCUCCUCUCACUGAAGAGAAAAAACAGCCAGAGUGGGGUAGGGGGUGACACCUGUCACAGCACCCUAGGGAUGAUGGUGGCACUGAAAUUUCUUCUGUUCUUUACUACCCCACAAAGGAGCUGAUGCCCCGCAGACAAGGAGAGAGAUUAGGAAUGUGAGCUUGCUGGCUUCUGCAGCUGCCUCUGUGCCCCUUGCUGCUGUCUGGGCGCUUUCCUGGCUAAUUUCAGGUACCCAUGGGCUCAAGUGCUGACCUCCUGGCCUGGUGCGAGGGCAGGAGCCAAGGCCCAGCAGGUGAGUGAUCCCAGGCUACUGGGUGGGCCUAGAACCCAAGGACGGAGAGCGCACGUCUCCUUGGCUGGGACUUGUGCAAAGAUGUUUCCAGCUCCCUGUGGACUCCCGAUGUGAAGACAUGAGGCCCACUAUCUGACUCACAGCACGAGGGACAUGCCACCAGGCUGGCUGGGCACA